RNAcentral lists this ribosomal RNA (1361 nucleotides) under uncultured bacterium. RNAcentral's name for it is "bacterial SSU rRNA". It matches the Rfam family "Bacterial small subunit ribosomal RNA", at positions 28 to 1381 of the family's 1533-position model. The record is from RNAcentral.
AUUGAACGCUUGCGGCAGGCCUAACACAUGCAAGUCGAGCGGUAGCACAGAGAGCUUGCUCUCGGGUGACGAGCGGCGGACGGGUGAGUAAUGUCUGGGAAACUGCCUGAUGGAGGGGGAUAACUACUGGAAACGGUAGCUAAUACCGCAUAACGUCGCAAGACCAAAGUGGGGGACCUUCGGGCCUCAUGCCAUCAGAUGUGCCCAGAUGGGAUUAGCUAGUAGGUGGGGUAAUGGCUCACCUAGGCGACGAUCCCUAGCUGGUCUGAGAGGAUGACCAGCCACACUGGAACUGAGACACGGCCCAGACUCCUACGGGAGGCAGCAGUGGGGAAUAUUGCACAAUGGGCGCAAGCCUGAUGCAACCAUGCCGCGUGUGUGAAGAAGGCCUUCGGGUUGUAAAGCACUUUCAGCGGGGAGGAAGGCGGUGAGGUUAAUAACCUCAUCGAUUGACGUUACCCGCAGAAGAAGCACCGGCUAACUCCGUGCCAGCAGCCGCGGUAAUACGGAGGGUGCAAGCGUUAAUCGGAAUUACUGGGCGUAAAGCGCACGCAGGCGGUCUGUCAAGUCGGAUGUGAAAUCCCCGGGCUCAACCUGGGAACUGCAUUCGAAACUGGCAGGCUAGAGUCUUGUAGAGGGGGGUAGAAUUCCAGGUGUAGCGGUGAAAUGCGUAGAGAUCUGGAGGAAUACCGGUGGCGAAGGCGGCCCCCUGGACAAAGACUGACGCUCAGGUGCGAAAGCGUGGGGAGCAAACAGGAUUAGAUACCCUGGUAGUCCACGCCGUAAACGAUGUCGAUUUGGAGGUUGUGCCCUUGAGGCGUGGCUUCCGGAGCUAACGCGUUAAAUCGACCGCCUGGGGAGUACGGCCGCAAGGUUAAAACUCAAAUGAAUUGACGGGGGCCCGCACAAGCGGUGGAGCAUGUGGUUUAAUUCGAUGCAACGCGAAGAACCUUACCUGGUCUUGACAUCCACAGAACUUUCCAGAGAUGGAUUGGUGCCUUCGGGAACUGUAAGACAGGUGCUGCAUGGCUGUCGUCAGCUCGUGUUGUGAAAUGUUGGGUUAAGUCCCGCAACGAGCGCAACCCUUAUCCUUUGUUGCCAGCGGUCCGGCCGGGAACUCAAAGGAGACUGCCAGUGAUAAACUGGAGGAAGGUGGGGAUGACGUCAAGUCAUCAUGGCCCUUACGACCAGGGCUACACACGUGCUACAAUGGCAUAUACAAAGAGAAGCGACCUCGCGAGAGCAAGCGGACCUCAUAAAGUAUGUCGUAGUCCGGAUUGGAGUCUGCAACUCGACUCCAUGAAGUCGGAAUCGCUAGUAAUCGUAGAUCAGAAUGCUACGGUGAAUACGUUCCCGGGGCU